Long non-coding RNA from Vespula pensylvanica (western yellowjacket), 610 nucleotides. RefSeq lists it as uncharacterized. The transcript has 2 exons. The record is from RefSeq and is a predicted model, not a curated record. Lineage: Eukaryota; Metazoa; Arthropoda; Insecta; Hymenoptera; Vespidae.
UCCUUAAAAAGGUUAUUACUUAUUUCUGUCUUUUAAAAGUUUGAUCGUAAAUCAUUUUUCUUGUAAGUAGAUCAUGAUAUCGUACCAUGUCGUGAGCAUAAUAAAAAAAUUCGAAGGAAUUAAAUAAUCAAAAUGAUUUGCGUGUGGAAUAAGACGAUCACGUUAUUUAAUGUUCGUUACGAGACACAAGUAAGGGGAAAAAUAAAAGAGAAAAGAUGGCUUUUCAUUUAGCUACUGACAAAGUAUCCCUUUCACCUUUCUUAGGUCAACCUUUCUAUCUGUAUGUCGUCGAUGAAAAGAAAUUUCUCUUUCUCCCUCUUUCAAGCGUCCUUUUCUCUCUCAUCCUUCUUGUUUAUUUUUCUGUUGAAAAAGACUUUCGAAUAAUUUAAAGGCACGCGGGAUUUUAUGAUGGAAGUACCAUUGUCGUAUUGCGCGGUAUCGUUGUUGCUGUCAUCUUUCUACCUGUAUCGUCCGCUACAAAUUCGAUCGAUAUUACCUUCCUCUCUUUCUCUAUAGAAAGAGGAACCUAGUCCGACACAAUGAAUAACGUACGAUAAAUGUUGCGUCGGACAACGGUAAAAGGAAAAGAAAAAAGAAAAAAAAAAAGAGA